This 326-nucleotide ribosomal RNA is filed under the name uncultured eukaryote. Its description in RNAcentral is "partial 18S ribosomal RNA". It matches the Rfam family "Eukaryotic small subunit ribosomal RNA", at positions 1470 to 1796 of the family's 1831-position model. The record is from RNAcentral.
CCCUUAGAUGUUCUGGGCCGCACGCGCGCUACACUGAUGCAUUCAACAAGCCUAGCCUUGACCGAGGGGUCCGGGUAAUCUUUGAAACUGCAUCGUGAUGGGGCUAGAUUAUUGCAAUUAUUAAUCUUCAACGAGGAAUGCCUAGUAAGCGUGAUUCAUCAAAUCGCGUUGAUUACGUCCCUGCCCUUUGUACACACCGCCCGUCGCUCCUACCGAUUGAAUGUGUUGGUGAGGAGCUCGGAUUGGCAGCAGUUGGUGGUUCGCCACCGGCUAUUGCUGAGAAGUCCUCCAAACCGCCCCAUUUAGAGGAAGGAGAANUCGUANCA